UGCAGUCGAGCGGGGGAAGGUAGCUUGCUACUGGACCUAGCGGCGGACGGGUGAGUAAUACUUAGGAAUCUGCCUAUUAGUGGGGGACAACGUUCCGAAAGGAGCGCUAAUACCGCAUACGCCCUACGGGGGAAAGCAGGGGAUCUUCGGACCUUGCGCUAAUAGAUGAGCCUAAGUCGGAUUAGCUAGUUGGUGGGGUAAAGGCCUACCAAGGCGACGAUCUGUAGCGGGUUUGAGAGGAUGAUCCGCCACACUGGGACUGAGACACGGCCCAGACUCCUACGGGAGGCAGCAGUGGGGAAUAUUGGACAAUGGGCGCAAGCCUGAUCCAGCCAUGCCGCGUGUGUGAAGAAGGCCUUAUGGUUGUAAAGCACUUUAAGCGAGGAGGAGGCUUACCUAGUUAAUACCUAGGAUAAGUGGACGUUACUCGCAGAAUAAGCACCGGCUAACUCUGUGCCAGCAGCCGCGGUAAUACAGAGGGUGCAAGCGUUAAUCGGAAUUACUGGGCGUAAAGCGCGCGUAGGUGGCCAUUUAAGUCAAAUGUGAAAUCCCCGAGCUUAACUUGGGAAUUGCAUUCGAUACUGGAUGGCUAGAGUAUAGGAGAGGAAGG
RNAcentral lists this ribosomal RNA (610 nucleotides) under uncultured Acinetobacter sp. Its description in RNAcentral is "bacterial SSU rRNA". It matches the Rfam family "Bacterial small subunit ribosomal RNA", at positions 56 to 661 of the family's 1533-position model. Lineage: Bacteria; Pseudomonadati; Pseudomonadota; Gammaproteobacteria; Moraxellales; Moraxellaceae. The record is from RNAcentral.